Molecule: long non-coding RNA, 3795 nt
Organism: Oreochromis niloticus (Nile tilapia)
Lineage: Eukaryota; Metazoa; Chordata; Actinopteri; Cichliformes; Cichlidae
Exons: 2
Source: RefSeq, a predicted model, not a curated record
UUGACCGUGCAUCUUCUGACAGUGAAAGCCAUAAAGUGCAUCUUUUUUUUAAUGUGAUACCUCAGAUACCUCCUGCAAAAGUAGAUAAAAUGACAUCUUCAUUAUUUAUCUACAGAUUUCUAACAGCAACCUUUAAAGAUUUUUCCAGUGUGGAUGGAUAAGAUACUGCAUUGAAAAGAUUUGGAUUUCAUUCAUAUUCCCUGCAUCCCUGUGGACUGAGAAAAAAAAUUAUCUACUACAAACUUCACUCAUUUAAAAUAUUCCGCUUAUCCAGGAUCGCAGGAGGGGCUGGAGCCUAUCCCAGCUACCGUAGGGCGAGAGGCAGGGUACACCCUGGACAGGUCACCAGUCUGUAGCAGGGCUAACACAGGAGGAAGCUGGAGUACCCAGAGAGAACCCACGCAAACACGGGGAGGACAUGCGAACUCCACAAAGAAAGGAAGGCCCCACCCAGGAAUCGAACUCAGGACCUUCUUGCUGUGAGGCAUAAGUGCUAAUCACCGUGCUGCCCCAGGGCAAAAUAAAUAGAUGAAAAGAAAAACAUAUUUGUGAAGCUCCUAAAAGACUAAAAGUAUGAGAAGACCUAACCCAACAAAGUCUUUCUACUUUACUAAUUUCCAUCUGUGUACAGCUGUCUGUCUUUCACAUUCAGACAGUUUAUUACAGUGGGACACUUGAUUAGAUGGAAUUAGUGAUCUGCAGCCUUCAUCCUUCAGAGGUUGAAGGCUCUGUUAGUAGGGGGCAGAUCGAUGCACUGUUAGCUUCUGUCACCACAGCCUAUGAUUCUUCUGCACUGCCUCACAGACCUACAAUCUCCUGCUCUGCUGUGUAGUUUGAAGGUCAAAGGUCAUAACCAGGGUUUAAAAAGGGUAAAGAAAAAAUUUAUAUACAUCUAUAUACACACAAAAUGCUAGAGAUUUAUUCUGAACUUCAACAACAAUUAAAAGUGAGAGGACUAUUUGUGCUGUUGGCAUCAUCUCUUAUCAAAACAAAACGAUCCUGAAUGUUGUGACAACGAUGCCGUCUGUGCUUGUGUAGUUGCUGCAGUAUAUCACCAAGCAUUAAUUGGAAAUGUAUAUGGUAAGGCUUUUCAACAAUCUUGGUCACGGACAUGUCAGGCCUCAUUUGACAGAGAUAAAUUAAUCUUUAAAAUGCUACACCAAACACCUGCCAAAUCCUCCUGCAGCUGUCAGUCAAUCUGUCAGUGUCCUACAUGGACCUACAGUCCAGUACAGUCCAUGGCUGUCUGCAUCCACCAGGCUGGCAUCUAUUUUUAGGAUGCAUCGUGCUUUCUGUUGUGCGUGUGUGUGCGUGUGUGUGUGUGUGUGUGCGUGUGUGUGUGUGUGUGUGGGCUCUAUAUUAGGGGUGUGACAGCAUGUCGUGGAAAGAUGAGAAGCCGUUUUCUCUGCCAGCAGAACGUGACCCAGUAUGUCUUUCUACUCAACUACAAGCUCUCUCUGUCUCAGUUUGCAUUUCAUUCAGUGUUAACACUUUUUUGGCAUGGCUGUGCAUGUUAACGAAGGAAUAAGCAUGUACUAUUUAUUUCAAAGUCUACUUUAAUUUUAAUGACUACUGGAUUUUAUUCAUAUUUUUACAGAAAAUGUACAUUAUCCCCGCGAAUCUAAAAAUAUAUAUAUGGUAAGUCUGCAAUGCUGAAACAUUUUUCUAUUAAUAGUUUGUAGCAUGUUAGUCAAAUGUGCAUGCAUUUCGUUUGACCAAAUUGCAUGCACAUACAACAAUUUUAGAUUAAAAAAAAUCAGUUGUCUUGUAUUCUUUGUAGUCUUUAAGACCAGAAUAUUCUGGUGCAAGAAAUGACAUCUCAGUUGGACCAAACCAUAAUUGCACAGCUUUAGUCCAAGGAAUUGAAAAAACAACCUGAUUUUUUUUAACCAAGAUGAGAAAAAAGAUUGUUAAUAACAGGGUUAGAAGGUUUCAUUAUCAUUAUUUCUGAUUAGUCUGAUUCAAGAGCAGGAAGAAGGACAUAAAUGACAACAUGUAAUGUGUAAUCUGUGUAGCAAUAAAAAUCGAUAUUACUCCACGUCUGCAUGCAUGAUUUGCCCCAGGCUCAACUGUAAAUGCUAAAUAACAGAGGAUCCACUACAGAGAGUAGAGAAACACAAGAGAGAUCCACAUGUGCGCUGCAUAAAUCUGUGAAAAUUAAAAGUAAUUACUGUUUUUACAAAGUUUACUUAGUUAUUUUGUUUAUACAAUACAACAAAAAAUGAGAAGCAGGAAAAUAAACAUGCAUAGACAUUGGCUGAUAUUAGAUGUCUAUACAUCUUAACUAAUGAGCAAGAACAUCUCCAUAUAGAGCUGUUUGAUGUUCUUACAUGUUUGUUUAAAAAGCACAGAAAUUUCAUCUCUGACUCAAAUGAACUAGAUUAUAUCUUGUUGUUGUAGCUUGACAGAGCUCACUCUACAACCCCACCCCAAAUGUAUUCAUGCAAAUAUGAAGACAUGCAAGUAAAAAGAAACUAAGAGUCUUCUGAUUUUUAAGGCUGUAUGUAAGCACAGUGCUUUGAUCGUCAUGCUAGCAGGCAUAAUGAUUACCAUUAUGAUUGGUUAAUGUGUUAGCAUGCUAUCUUGUGUUAAGUGGCACUUAACACAAACUACAACAGGAGCUGGUGGUAAAAACUCAGGGACUUUUGACAAUAUAUAACAAGAACCACUGGGAUGUGUGCAUCACAUUUCACACAGCAGUUGCUGAGAUAUUUCAAUGAAAAGAGAAAUAUGUCAAAUUUAUGUAGGAGUAUCAAGCAUCAACAUGAUUCAACAAGUCAAACAUCAGAAUUUCUACCAUUUGUCAUGGAAAACAAGUUGACAUUUCAGUCUCCAACAAAAAAUGUCAACCAGCUGAUGGCAGCUGAUGUGUGAAAAGGUUUGUUACACAGAACCUUCUACGAAGUAUUCCUGUGAAACGGAAAAAGGUCAGGCACUUUGAUCAAAUGCAAAGAUGAUUGGAUUAAUCAAAUGUCUAUAAAAUGCUAAUAACUGUCUAACAAAUAUAGUAGAUCAAGAAACACUGGAGAGAGAUUGAUCCCUAAAGCAAGCAAGCAAGCAGCAUAGCUAUAGCCAAGUAAAGCUAGCUAUGUAGUGUGGAAUUAUAUAGCAUUAUAUAGCUUUUUAGCAUUAUACUUUUUAGCAUUGUACUGUUUAAACAUUAUACUUUUAAGCAGGCCCCUGUGUAACCUUAGGAGCAAGAGUAGUUGAAGCAACAUCACAGGAAAAAGAUGCAUAGGCGAGAUACUAAGAAAUAGUACAGAAGUUACAGUAGAUAACGGGGGGCAAAAGGGCAGCGUUAAGAACAGUCUAACACAUAAGUAUAGACUAGAAAAGCAGAACUAAGAAGGAGAGCGUAAACCCCCGGUGCCACACACACUUGAUACAUACAAAAGCGCACACUCAUGACAGUUAACAUGACCCCCCCCCACACACACACACCUACAGUGCAGACAGGAACACACACACACACACACACAUUGUAGAUAGAGACAUGUACAUCACACACACACAUUCACAACUAAGAUAUGCAAUUAAGAAAGGGGUUAAAGAUAAGGCAAGACCUUAAAAGGAAAGGUAGAAGACGAUAGAUGAGAAAGAAGUUGUUUUGAUUGAAACUGUGUAUGACGUAUAGGCGAACGUGAUAUCAGAAUAACAGGAAAGGUGGGAGGUAAAUAAGGAACUUUGGAAUAAUAUAAAUGUAACAGUUCGAAGGACUGCCCUUCGAAUCUGCAAGAGGCUUUAUGCUGAGCUGAUUCCCUCCUGCGCAGAAAUAAAGAAGUUGAUUGAACUGAA